AUUGAACGCUGACGGCAGGCCUAACACAUGCAAGUCGAGCGGAUGAAGGGAGCUUGCUCCUGGCUUCAGCGGCGGACGGGUGAGUAAUGCCUAGGAAUCUGCCUGGUAGUGGGGGAUAACGUGCGGAACCGGGCGCUAAUACCGCAUACGUCCUGUGGGAGAAAGUGGGGGAUCUUCGGACCCCACGCUAUCAGAUGAGCCUAGGUCGGAUUAGCUAGUUGGUGGGGUAAAGGCCUACCAAGGCGACGAUCCGUAACUGGUCUGAGAGGAUGAUCAGUCACACUGGAACUGAGACACGGUCCAGACUCCUACGGGAGGCAGCAGUGGGGAAUGUUGUACAAUGGGCGAAAGCCUGAUCCAGCCAUGCCGCGUGUGUGAAGAAGGUCUUCGGAUUGUAAAGCUCUUUAAGUUGGGAGGAAGGACAGUAAGUUAAUACCGUGCUGUUUUGACGUUACCAACAGAAUAAGCACCGGCUAACUUCGUG
RNAcentral lists this ribosomal RNA (484 nucleotides) under uncultured bacterium. RNAcentral's name for it is "partial 16S ribosomal RNA". It matches the Rfam family "Bacterial small subunit ribosomal RNA", at positions 30 to 507 of the family's 1533-position model. The record is from RNAcentral.